Molecule: microRNA, 20 nt
Filed under: Corchorus olitorius
Lineage: Eukaryota; Viridiplantae; Streptophyta; Magnoliopsida; Malvales; Malvaceae
Also listed under: 1 other name
Description: bta-miR-232
Source: RNAcentral
UGUUGUUGUUUUUCUUUUUC